Molecule: long non-coding RNA, 41733 nt
Filed under: Citrus sinensis (sweet orange)
Lineage: Eukaryota; Viridiplantae; Streptophyta; Magnoliopsida; Sapindales; Rutaceae
Description: long non-coding RNA (CSIN_LNC000969)
Source: RNAcentral
CUUACUACUACAAAUCACCACCUCCUCCUUCUCCCUCUCCACCUCCACCAUAUUAUUACAAGUCUCCCCCACCACCAUCUCCGUCUCCUCCACCACCUUACUACUACAAGUCACCACCACCACCAGUGCAUUCUCCCCCGCCACCUUAUUACUACAAAUCUCCGCCGCCACCAAAGUAUUCUCCCCCGCCACCUUAUUACUACAAAUCUCCACCGCCACCAAAGCAUUCUCCCCCACCACCUUACUACUACAAAUCUCCACCGCCACCAAAGCAUUCUCCUCCACCACCUUACUACUACAAAUCUCCACCACCACCAAAACACACCUUACUAUUAUAAAUCACCACCUCCACCAAUGAAGUCUCCACCUCCGCCAUAUUACUAUAAAUCACCACCACCACCAAAGCAUUCUCCCCCGCCACCUUACUACUACAAGUCUCCACCACCACCAAAACAUUCCCCACCACCACCUUACUACUAUAAGUCACCGCCUCCACCAGUAAAGUCUCCACCACCGCCCCCAAAGCAUUCUCCCCCACCACCUUAUUAUUACAAAUCACCACCUCCACCAGUGAAGUCUCCACCUCCGCCACCUUACUAUAAAUCACCACCACCUCCAAAGCAUUCUCCCCCUCCACCUUACUAUUAUAAAUCACCACCUCCACCAAUGAAGUCUCCACCUCCGCCAUAUUACUAUAAAUCACCACCACCACCAAAGCAUUCUCCCCCGCCACCUUACUAUUAUAGAUCUCCACCACCACCAAAGCAUUCUCCCCCACCACCUUACUACUAUAAGUCACCACCUCCACCGAAGAAAUCCCCACCUCCACCAUAUUAUUAUAAGUCGCCACCACCACCAAAGCAUUCUCCCCCACCUCCUUAUUAUUACAAAUCUCCACCACCACCAAAGUAUUCUCCACCACCACCUUACUAAUACAAAUCUCCACCAACGCUAUCUCUAUCCCCACCUCCAUCUUACAUUUAUAAAUUCCCACCUCCACCAUCUAUAUCACCUCCACCACCACCUCCAUCACUGUCACUAUUGCCUCGCUACUGUUCCAAGUCAUCACCACCUCCUGAAGACUACUAAGUUCAAUGUUCCGUCUUCAAACAAAUUUAAAAUUCAAUAAGAAUAAAUUUGUUCCUUCAGUUGCCUUUUUCAUGAAUUUUUAUGUUAAUGUUUUUACGAAUAAUUUUUAAGAAGCGUUCGGUGUAUCAUUGUCAUGUGCAAUAAAAAUUUUCUAACUUAAUGUACCCAAAAAAAAAUGUUCCACAAGAAAUAUUCUAUUGUUUUAUCACAAAUGUGUUGUGGCACAUGUAAUGCGCCUAGAUAAAGUAAUAUUAUGUCUUGAUGAACAAUCAUGCACAACAAUGAUCAUGUACAUAGUUCUUCCAAUGUCAUGAUAAUGUCCAUGCACAUAAUAACAAACUUCUUCCUUGUAAUAUCAAAGAAAAUGAAUAUACAAGCCUCUUAUUCUCUAAUCAUUCACUCAAACAACAUUGUUUUAAUUUAGGUUUUGAUCAAUCUUAAUGCUCAUAAAUGCUAACUACAAAUCAUAUACAAGAUCAACAAAAACCAUAUUUUAAAUGAAUUAGAAAAACAAACAUUAGACUUAACCAAGUAGUUAACCUUUAUUAUUCUCCUAGGUAGAUUACAAGCUAUCACUGAAAAAAAAAAUCAUCUAAAAUGGUGAACAAAUGCGCUCUAAAUCAGUUGCAUUCAUUUGUUCAGCUAAGCAAUAAAAUAACCCUUUUCCAUUUUAACUUAUAUACUUUGGCAUGGUAACUUUAAAUAACACCCUCAACUUGACAAAUUUUAAUAACCAAAGCGAUCAAUAACUGUAAAUCUUGACAAAAUUUUUUACUUUAGUUAAAGCCAUAAACAUAGUAUUAAAUAAAAUGAAAAAAAAGGCCAUAAACAUAGUGUUGAAAUACCUUUAUACUUGUGAACUAACUUUUGAUGUUGAUUAAGCUCAUGUACCCUCAACUUUUGUAUUAUGAAUAUGCUUAUGCCCUAUCUUAGGUCUCCUCUAUGAACUCCUCCAUGAACCACUUUUUUUUUUUUUUUUAAAAAAUAAAUUCAUUAUGAUACUAAGGUAUAAGCAGAAGUAAAAUUCCUUUAAUAUUAUUGUAAUCAGGAUGUGGCUACCUAGGUGAUACAUGAAUUGGUUAUUUGUACAUUUUACUACAUUUUUUUGAGUUUGCUUGCUAUUUUUCUCUUUGUUCCAAUAAUUCCCACACGAGGAUAAUCUCAUUUUAACAAAGAAAGAUACUACUGAAAUACAACAAAACAUAAAUUCUAAUAUACUAGAAAAUUUUUUUUUCUUUGCCUUUUCAUAUCUUAGAGUUAUGUUUUUAUCCUCUUGUAGUGGCAUAUAUGCAUUUUAACUAGAAUAUUCUUAUUUGAGAAUUAUUAAUAAGAGAGUGGUAGACAAAUGAUACAAAACUAUGCUGCUUCACGAUUAACAACACAUUCAAUCGAGUAACGAUAGAGAGUCAAUUCUAACACCACGAGAAAGCAAACAAAAGUUGAAAUAUUUUAGCGAAUACCUUUUAAAGUUUGAAUUAAUAAUAAAAUUGUCCCAAAAAACUGCCUUAAUGGAAUUAAUGUGGAGAUUUAGUGGUAGGGUGCAUCAAUAUCAUUUUCCAGAAAAAAAAUAGUCAAAAUAUGAAAGGUUUGUUCUGCAGGUGGUUGAUAUUGCUGUACAUUAAUAUCAAUGAUACGUACCAAAUUCUAUUAUAAAAUUCAUUAAUGUAUAAGUAGAAUAUUUAAUAAAUUAAUUCCGGGUAAAACGUCGGUGAUAUGAACAGUAGCGAAGCUGCAACCGGGUUAGCUUUUUUUUUUAAUAAAAAAAUAGUUAAUUAUAAUUUAUGAAUUUGCCUUUAUUAAUACUUAAAAAAAUAAAAAUAAAUUUAAUAGCCCACCCCGAUGCUAGCUAAGCUAAAAAUAAAAUAUAUCGAAUAAAUGGUGAAGAGAAAGCUGUAAUAAUUAUCGUAAUUACAGUGAGAAGCUGUAAUUUUCUUGAACACGCUUUGACGUACGAUUAGCAAAAAAGUCGUCUGUCUAUAAGCAAUUGGCCGUACAGCAUCUUAACUAUUCCGUUGACAUUGUAAUUAAUUAAUUGAUGACUUUUCUAUAAUUUCUUUGAACCAAAUGCAGAUAUUUAGUGGGCAACCCGCAACCCUUGCUUGGCAAAAUAUAGGAAAGAAAAACUUGAAAUUUAUAAAUGUUACAUUUUGUUUGGAUGAAUAAUUUUGAGAUAAUGUUUCAGUUUUAGAUUUUGUUACCGAUACCUAAUUAUAAUAAUAAAAAAUAUUGCAUCAUUUUUUUACCAACAGUUACAAUACAUUUUAUUUUUUUUUCUUCUCAAUAUUUAAACUCGAAUAAUCAGUUAAAAGUUGCUCGAGAAUGUUUAAAAGCCAUUUAAGUAUACCACGUCAUUCAUGUUUUGCAAUCAUUCAAUUGUUAAUAAGUUUCCCAUGUGCUGAAAAUAAAUAAAAAUGCACGUGCAUAUGUCAUAUUGUCUCCGAAACCUCACAGCGGAAUGAGUGUAGUACUUGCAAUGCAUGUACUUUAGACUUUGUAUUUCUCUUAUUUAAAUGAUCAAUAAUUUUUCUUUGUCCUUUAAUUAGACGUCAACAGUCGAAGUUGUGGGCAAGUAGUAGGCUAUAUAUAAUAAUUUCCUGGAGAUCUUCCGUCUUCUAAGACAUUGCAAAUGCCAAACGUGAUAACUAUUUUGAUAAUUCAAAUACUACAUAAAAUAUAUGAAGUGUCAGACAAGUCAAAAGAAUUGAUUCUUCACAAUUGUAUAUACGUAUACACACACUUUGCCCAAAUCCCAUUGUAUCCAGGCUGUAAUUUUUAUAUUAAACGAACAUAUUUUAUUUUAUGUCAGCAAUAUUGAUGCAGGCUGGUGGAACAACAGCUUCAGGAUGGUCAACUACCCUUCGGAUCAUUGCAAGUGGGAUGGCAUCACUUGCAAUUCAGAUGGAACCAUAAUCGGGCUAAAAUUAUCAGGGUAUGAUGUUGACUUCAAAAGGUAGUCUUCGUAAAAUUAUCAUGGUAUAAUAUACGUAUUUAUUUUCGCAUACAUAAAUAAAUAACAAAAUUGUAAUUAAUUGGAUACAACUUCAGCUUUUGGACUGGUUUGUGAAAAUCGGAAAAAUUUAAAAAUGCUCCUCUUGAACAAUCAAAAUCUACUUUAUACGUGAACAAAGGGGAUGAUUCGUAAAGAUAAUUCAUCAAUGUUUGAUUACUUUCAGAAAGAUAGACUUCAUUUGAUCUCGUCCCAAAGCAUAAUUUCACUUUGAAUUUGAAAAAGAAUAAUGAAGUUCAUACGAUGCUGUUGUGACCUUUUUUUUUUGUUUUCUUUUUUUCUCGACGUUGUUUUGUGAAUCAUAAGGGUUAAUUUAGUACGGUGGGUUCGCUUGUAUGAAGCGUACUUAUUGUACCAUUCUGUUGCAAGUAAUGAAAAAACGCUAUAAUUUUUUUUAGGUUUCUACAAGUAUUAUGUUAUCUUAUAUCUAACUGUGCAUCUCUAUUCUUUGCUCUCAGUUCAGGUUCUCUAAAAGUAUAUUAAUUAUGAAAAGCAUUAAAGGUUCCGAAACUCUAUUUUGCGGGGAAAAAGAACCUCCAUUUUUGGUUUUUUAUUAUCAUAAGAGGUUUUACUAUGCUCGUAAUAACUUAAUCGAAAUUAAACAUAUCACUGGUCUACAUUUUUUUAUCAGAUUUUGUGCCUUGCUAAUUAAGAUGAGUAUCACCAUCAAAUCAACAAGCUUAUACCUUCAAAGAAAAAUAGACUAUAAGUCGGGAGAAAGAAGAAGAAAAAAAAAAAGAAGCUUCGCAAUUUAUGCUGUUGGUUGUGAGUUCAUGAAACAAAUAAAAAUAUGAAAUCAAACAUUUAUUCAAAAUUUAAAAUUAAAAAAAAAACUCUAUAUCUACAGUAAUCUGUUCAAACCACAUAGGUGGAGCAAUAUAGUUCCAAGACGUGGUUUUAAAACAUGUCUUUGUGAUAAACAAUAUCGUGAUACUUGCGCCAAUUCCCAUGGCAAUAAUUGCCUACAUUUAUCCAAGAUCCAUGGCCAGGUUUAGAAUGUGCUAGUCUUCUUUCACUUUCAUAAAUAACCACUACUAGGUAAUCAGAGUGUCGGUCUAAAUUUUUCGGAGAUACAACGUCAAUGUAUGUGCCCGGAGUUGAAGCUGAACGCGCUUAAAUAUGUUCGGAAUUUGAAGUUGAACGCCUGGAAAAGGAUGCAGACUGAAGAAAGGCAAUUCCUGGAAUUUGUCUUUGGUAAGAAAACAUGGCUGCUUAUGCCCUUUGAAAGACUGAAGAAACCAAAUUGAUUAUUGCUGCAAUUUAGUGGCACAUGUACGAGGAGAGGCAUCCAAUUAAACUUGUUCAUAAAAGUAUUGCUGAUAGUUGCAGCCGAUCUCCAGACAAAAUCUUCGUACAAUUUUAUCCGCCAGCAAUUUCGACCAAGAGACCUUGAUGCAGUUCAGACCAAUUCGCCAGUUGAACAUCAAGUUGCCUAGGCAUUGAGAAUUAGGUCAAUAAAAUAUAUCCUGGGUCACUUACAAAAGAUGAAAUAAGUGAAAAAGGAAAGAUGACGUAAUAAUUUCUUAGUGAGAAAAGUUAGUUAAUUUUCAAUUGCUUUCAUUGUUUUGAUAAUUUUCAAAACAUUUCAUUGCUUUCAUUGCGUAAUUAAGCUUUUUUUGCUUCAAAAUAUUUCAAAUUGUGUUUGUGGGACUACUAAACAAUUAGGACACAACAAUGUUUCGUUCUGGUCUUUUUUUUUUUUUACUUUUUAAUUUAUUUUAAGAAAAUCUUUGUCCAUCUCUCAUCCUGCCAAAUAUAUCGUCUCGUCUUGUUAUCUAGAAUAAUUCUUCAUGCAUCAAUGAGUUUUGACAAAUUUUUAUCUUUUAAAAGUUGUUGUAAUUCAAUAUAGCUAAAAUCUUAAAUACAUACAUGUAGAAUAAUCUAAGCAUUACCUUAUUCGGGGAAAAUCGAGAUUAGAAUCAAUCAAAGCAAUGAUACCUUAUAUCAGUGAGAUAUAUGCAAGACUCACCCAUUGGUACAAACGAAAAUGAUCAAAGUGGAAGCAAAAAUGGAAUCCUCAAAUGUGGUGAUAAUUUAGAUGAUCUCCACUCUCCAUUUGGUUUCAUCUAAUAAGUUAGUGUUUAAUUAAGAAUUUAUUACUCAUUUUAUUAUGAUAUUAAUCAACUGCCGUCCCUUCCAUUAGUUCAUUAUUUUUGAUGGAUUACGAAAGACAGACAAUAAAAUUCUCCAAAACUGUUGUAAGAGUAAUAUUGUAAAAGUUACAUAAAAGUGAGGAUAAGGAUAAUUUGAGGUAUGUUUCAAGAUAUAAAGAUUAAAUAAAUUCUUAACUCAAAAUAAAGAGAUUUAUUUUUUUUAAAAGAGAUUAAAAUGUCAUGAUAAAUAAAUAAGGGAGGUGAUAUUCUGGGCUCUCCCCUGGCUUUUUGUGAUAACAUCUUAAAUUAAUAUAAAUAGUUAAAAUUUUAUUAAAAAAUAAAUUUUUACCUAAUACUCUUUGACAUAGCUAGGAAUAUAGCCUACUUGCAAGAGACUUACAUUCGUUUGCACAGCCCUUUCGUGAAUAUAAAAUUGCUGCCGAAUAAGCAUCUAAUUAAAAGAAUUAGGAAUUUGUCAACGGUAUAAAUUAAAUAUAAAAAACGAGUAAAAGAAUUUGUCAAUGGGAUAUGGGGGGCUAUGGCUUCAAUCGUAGGGGUGGGCAAAUUUCGGAUUCCGAAUCCGAUCGGAUUUUGGAUAAUUCGGAUUGGGAAAAAAUCCAUCCAAAUUCAAUCCGAACCUUAAAUCUGUUUCGAUCCGAGAUAAUUUCGGAUCCGGAUCAGAUUCGGAUGAGUUUGAAUUUCAGAUUAUAUUUCAAGUUCGGAUUAUAUUUUGGAUUCGGAUUAAUUCGGGUUUGGGACCUUUUUACAAUUCUCACAAAAAAAUUAUGAAAUUUAUAAUUAAUGAAAAAUAAUUUCCAUGAUGCUGUCAACAAUAAUUAAUAUUUUGAAAACGCAAUAACGGAAUUUUCAAAAAAAAGAAAAAGAAAACACAGGAACGGUAUUGAUAAAGAAUUUUCAUUAGCCAUUUGUGACUGCUAACUAAAUUGUAACAACUAAGUAAAAUAUAAUAAUAAUAAUAAUACAUGCGGGUAUAUUCAAAGCAACUAAAUCACUUGCGAAUGAUCAAGACAAAUCGUAUAAACAAGUAAAAAAUUCAAAGUUUCAAACGCAAAUCGUCGGGGGCUAUCGGAUUAGUGGAUUACCAUUAACAAGACGAGGUUUAUGUCGGUGUGAGUUGCUCAUUGUGGGUCUGGAUGAUGUCGCGAUGGCUGGGUUUGUGCCAACUAUGAUCCAGCUAGGUUUGUAUCGAAUCUGAUCUCGUCUAGAGGACGUUGUGGCGGCUGGGUUUGUGUCGAAUUCAUUCGGUUUGUCUCGUCGGCGACAUGGUUGUUGGUUGGCUCGUCAGGUUGUGGCCCGUGGGUGUGGUGUGGUUUGUUGUCGUGGAUUGACUUAUCAAAGGGCGUGCGACGAUGGUGUGUGGUUUUGUCAUUUGGAAAUUGAGUUUUGAUUUUUCAUUUUCGUUUUUUUAAAAAAAAAUUUUUGGAUUAUUCGGAUUGAACUGAAUCUUAUCCGAUCCAAAUCAAAUCCGAUCAGAUUACAAAAAUUUCAUCCGAUUGGAUUUUAAAGCAAAUCCAAAUCCGAUCCGAACAAAUUCGGAUCGAAUUGGAUUAGAUCGGAUCUAUCCGAAUCUGAUCCAAUGUCCACCCCUAUUCAAUCGGUUUCUGCAAUGGUUAAUGGCAUAUUUUUGCUCAUCGUCACCACUGCAUUCACUAAUCAUUUGUGCACGUGAAUUGUUUUUGAGCAUUUAUUUUGCCUUCGUUAAAAUUGGGCAUGUAAAAAUUUCAUGAAAAAUGGCCAAAGUGGCUGGCUAGGUGAUAUAAUGGAUGGUUACAACUCAAACCUAGCAAUAAAUGAAUGUCCGACAAGCAUUCAAAUGAAUGUAUAAAACCAAUGAGAUUAGAAUAUCUAUUUAUAAUAGACUAAUUAAAAUACGAUUCAAAUAUAAGGUAAAUAGUCUCUCUAUUAAUUUUUUAUUGUUUCAGGUAGGGUUGUCGAGCCUUUGUCCGGGCUUCUGUAAGCCCAUUUCCAGCCCUCUUAUAUGAUUGGAUUAGAUCAGGCUCGGCCCACCAGGCCGGGCUAAAUCUUGAGCUCUUUUUAAAUAAAAAAAAGUUGAAUUUUAAGUUUUUGAAGUUAAUAUAUAUACACACACACUUGUACUUAAAUAAUUUAUAAAUUUUUUAAAAGCCAAAUAAUAAAAAUAUUGACAUGUAAAAGUACAAUUUUUUUUUCAUGUGGAAUAAUUAUCUCAUUUCUACCUUUUUGGUCCUAUAGAUAUUUCCUCAUUUCAUCUUUGGUAUUAGAGCAGUAGUAAAAAGACACACGAUUAAAGAUAAAUGUGACAUUUUUACCGACAAAUUAACUAUUUGGAUCUAAGAUCUAGCUCUAAUGGUAAAGACUAGUUUUUAUAGAAUUCAGGUCCUGGGUUUGACUUCCAAUUGCGUGGGUAAGCUAAUAAUAAUAAUAAUAAUAAUAACAAAUUAACUAGUUUUAAUUUGCAAAGGUCUUAGAUAAUCAAUUCGUUUGUAAAAACAUCAAAUUUAUUUUCAGUAAUGAAAUUUUCAAGUCACUGGUUUUAGCACUAGGAAUGAAUUAAAUAGAGUAAUGAUAAACAUCUUAAAAUUUUAUCCCAAAUGAUAUGACAUGUAAUGUGUCAUUUAUUAAGUGGUUGGUGAUUUUUCAUAAAUUUUAAGUCGAUUAAUUAUAUUAUUUCACCAACCAAUAAAUGAACAUCACAUCAUUUGAGAAUGAAUUUUAAGGUAAAAUUUUAGAUAUAUAUCAUUACUCAAUUAUUUUUUAUAGUAUAAAAUCUAAUAGGGACCAAAAAUAUAAAAACCAAUUAAGAAAAAAAAAGUCAAUUCCUAAUUAGAAGAAUGAAAGUGUCAUUCUCCUAUAAUCAUUUCUCAAGUUUUUAUAUAAAUUUAUUAAUGCAAAAUUUUAAAAGAAAAUCGGUACCUAAAACUAACGCCUUUGACAAUGCUGCCAAUAUCACUCACAACUUACAAGAAUAAAGAAUUUGUAUUAAAUUUAUUAAUGUUCUCAAAGAAUUUUUAGUUUUGACUUUACAUUCUCAGACCCAUUUGUCACAUAACAUCUUAGCUGAUUAACAAAGCCCUUUCGUGAGAAUAUUAAAACUGCUCUCGAAUAAGCAUCUUAACAACCCCGUUUUUGACAUACAUGCAUGCCUCCUCAUGUCAGCAAAUUUGAAACAUAAAAGAUAAUUUCAAUCGAUGUGAGAGUUGGGAGUAUUUUAUAGCUUUUGACCUCAUUAAUUAUGAGUAAGAGAAUAUUUCUACGUCACUAAUGAUUAAAAUGAUCACUAUAUAUAUAAAGGGUAGCAAAGUAUGUUUAACAUCAAGUCAGAAAACACAAUUUUUAGGAAAUGGGAACUCGGGGACAGGCGAGGCAAUGGCCUCAAUUGUUUUGUGCUAUAGCAUUUUUGCUUAUAGCCACCACGACCAAGGCAUCGGCUGAUGAUUAUGCCUCAGCACCACCACCAAAGUAUUCUUCUCCACCUCUUUACUACUACAAAUCACCACCUCCUCCUUCUCCCUCUCCACCUCCACCAUAUUAUUACAAGUCUCCCCCACCACCAUCUCCGUCUCCUCCACCACCUUACUACUACACGUCACCACCGCCACCAGUGCAUUCUCCCCCGCCACCUUACUACUACAAGUCACCACCGCCACCAGUGCAUUCUCCUCCGCCACCUUACUACUACAAAUCUCCGCCGCCACCAAAGCAUUCUCCCCCGCCACCUUACUACUAUAAGUCACCACCACCACCAGUGCAUUCUCCCCCGCCACCUUAUUACUACAAAUCUCCGCCGCCACCAAAGUAUUCUCCCCCGCCACCUUAUUAUUACAAAUCUCCGCCGCCACCAAAGCAUUCUCCUCCACCACCUUACUACUACAAAUCUCCACCACCACCAAACCAUUCUCCCCCACCACCUUACUACUAUAAGUCACCACCACCACCAAAGCAUUCUCCCCCACCUCCUUAUUACUACAAAUCUCCACCACCACCAAUGUAUUCUCCACCACCACCUUACUAAUACAAAUCUCCGCCAUCGCCAUCUCUAUCCCCGCCUCCAUCUUACAUUUAUAAAUUCCCACAACCAUCAUCUAUACCACCUCCACCAUGACCUCUAUCACGGUCAUUAUUGCUUCCUUACUACUCCAAGUCACCGCCAACUCCUUUAUCUCCACCUUCACCGUAUUACUACAAUCACCCCCACCUCCCAAAGACUACUACGUUCAGUAUCCCUUCUUGAAACAAGUUUAAAAUUCAAUAAGAAUAAAUUUGUUCCUUUGGUUGCCUUUUUUUUUAAUUUUUUACUAAGUUCAAUGCCCCUUCUUGAAACAAGUUUCAAAUUCAAUAAGAAUAAAUUUGUUCCUUUGGUUGCCUUUUUAUGCUUUUUUGUGUCAAUUUUUUUACAAAUAAUUUGUAAGAAGCGUUCAGUGCAUCAUUUGUCAUGUGCAAUAAAAAUCUUCUAACUUAAUGUAUCCCCAAAAAAAAAAAAAAAAAUUGUUCUAUAAGAAUUAUUCUAUUGUUUUAUCACAAAUGUGUUGUGGCGCAUAUAAUGCUCCCGGAUGAAGUAAUAUUAUGUCUUGAUGAACAAUCAUGCACAACAAUGAUCAUGUACAUAGUUCUUCCAACGUCAUGAUAAUGUCCAUGCACAUAAUAACAAACUUCUUCCUCAUAAUAUCAAAGAAAAUGAAGAUACAAGCCUCUUAUUCUUUAGUCAUUCACUCAAACAACAUUGUUUUAACUUAGGUUUUGAUCAAUCUUAAUGCUAAUAAAUGCUAACUACAUAUCAAAUACAAGAUCAACAAAAACCAGAUUUUAAAUUAAUCAGAAAAACAAACACUAGACUUAACCAAGCAGUUAAGCUUUAUUAUUCUCCCUCAGUAAAGGAUACAAAGAUGUAGGUGGAUUACAAGCUAUCACUGAAAAAAUAGAAAUCAUCUAAAAUGGUGAACAAAUGAGCUCUAAAUCUGUUGCACUCAUUUGUUCAACUAAGCAAUGAAAUUACCCUUUUCUAUUUUAACUGCUUGUCUACUUUAACACGGCAACUUUAAAUAACAACCUUCAACUUGAAAAAUUUGAGUAACCAGAGCCAUCAAUAACGGUAAAUCUUGACAAAAAUUUUAGUUUAAUUAAGGCCAUAAACAUAAUAUUAAAUAAUAAAAAAAAAAGGCCAUAAACAUAGUGUUGAAAUACCAUUAUACCUGUGAACGAACUUUUGAUGGUUAUUAAACUCAUGAACCCUCAAUUUUUGUAUUAUGAAUAUGCUCAUGGCCUAUCUUAGGUCUCCUCUAUGAACCACUUUUUUUUUAAAAAAAUUAUAUUCAUUAUGAUACUAAGGUAUAAGUAGAAGUAAAGUUCUUUUAAUAUUUUUGUAACCAGGAUGUGACAACCUAGGUGAUACGUGAAUUGGUUAUUUGCACAUUUUGCUACAUUUUUGUGAGUUUGCUUGCUGGUUUUCUCUUUGUUCCAACAAUUCACACAUAGGAUAAUCUCAUUUUAACAAAGAAAGAUACCACUAAAAUACAACAAAACAUGAUCAAUUCUAAUAUACUAGAAAACUUUUUUUUUUUGUUUGCCUUUUCAUAUAUUAGAGUUGUGUUUUUGUUAUCUUAUAGUGGCAUCUAUGCAGUUUAACUAAAUGAGAAUAUUCUCAUUUGAGAAUUAUUAAUAAGAGAGUAGUAGACAAAUGAUACCCAACUAUACUGCUUCACUAUUAACAACACAUCCAAUUGAGUAAUGAUAGAGAGUCAAUUCUAUCACCAAAUGAAAGCAAACAAAAGCUGAAAUAUUUUAGUGAAUAUCUUUAAAGUUUGAAUUAAUAAUAAAAUUGUCCCAAAAAACUGUCUUAAUGGAACUAAUGUGCGAUUUAUUUGUAGGGUGAAUAAAUAUCAUUUUCCAGAAAAAAAUAUAGUCAAAAUAUGGAAAGCUUGUUCUGCAAGUGGUUGAUAUUGAUGUACAUUAAUGUCAAAGAUACAUUAAGUGCAUGCCAAAUUCUAUUAUAAAAUUUAUAAAUGUAUAAGUAGAAGAUUUUAUAAAUUAAUUCCUGUAAAACGUCGGUUAUAUGAAUAAAUGGUGAAGAGAAAGCUGUAAUAAUUAUCGUAAUUACAAUUUUCUUGAGCACGCUUUGACGUACGAUUAACAAAAAAGGUCUGUAUAUGAGCAAUCGGCCGUACAUUAUCUUAACCACCUGAUUUUGUUUUUUUUUUUUGUAAUUUCAAUCUUGGCCGUUGGAGUCAAUGAAAAGAUCGUUCAAAUGGUAGAGAUUUGUCUAUUUGAUUAUUAACAUUAUGCUUCCCGAUGGUUAUCAAAAACCCAAACAAAUUAAAGAGUUAAAACUUUUAGCACAUAAGUCCGAAUUGUUUCAAAUUUAUGUUGUUUAAUCACUAGUGAGUCUCAAAAAAUAAAUUUAUUUUAAUAUUAUAUAUUUUAUUUAAAAGAAUUAAUUUUUUAUAUCAUUUAUUUUAUUAAAAAUAAAUAUUAUUGAAUACUAAUUAUUCUCAUUUUAUUUAAUAUUAUUUAGUUAUAGGCUUAUUAUUAUAUUUAAUUGUUCAAAAAACUAAAAAAAUUUAAAUAAAAUAAAGUAAUUGAUGGUUGUCGAAGCCAACAAAAAUAAAUUCCUACUCUAAAUAAAUUGUGUAUAGUGAUUGAGCAGGGUCGUGUCCACAGAGAUCGGUAAUUAUUUAAAUCCUUUUGAAACGUAAAACGUAAAAUGGGGGAAUUGUUGACAAUAAUAAAAAUCAAAUUAAAAUAACAAGAAUGCAAAUUAAAGUUGUAAUUCAAAUUGGAGAAAGCUCUGGUUGAAGGAAUUAACUCAGCUUGAUUCGACUACUGAUCAUUGAUUCAAAUAUAGAUUAUUAUUACUCAUGAAUAGACCGGUUAUAGCUACUGAGACCCUCUAAUAGCCAAUCUCUCCUUAACUAGUCGAUAACCAAGGUACGACCGUUGGAUAUUCCCUAAUCAAUAGACAACCCUAGAUACGAUCAUAGAAUUUAAUCAAUUGACAGCCUGAAAAACCAGAAAGACCCAAAUCCUAAUCAACACAUAUGAUGAUUCAUUUAAAUUAAAUUGUUUAUUCUCACAACACAACUCUCUGCUAUGUCAUUUGUCACAAACAUUAAAUUCUUCAUACGAUGAAUCCCUUAAUUGACAAUAGAUUAAGUUGAUAAUUAAAUAGUGGCCAACUGCUGUACGGCCAAGGCGGAUGUACGGUACAGCAGAAUACAUUCCCUUACUCAACUAACAAAGUCUUUCAUUUAUCUGAAAACAGUUCCAAUUUUGAAAUAUCAGUGUCAAACUUUUCCCAGCAACAUAUUUAUCAUCUCUCCACAUUAUCCUUAACUGACAGCAGCUUGGAAGAUCUUCAAUCAGCAAGUUCAGAAAGCAAUGAACAAGUACCUUCUGUUUCUGCACACACAAAUAAUCUGCAUCAACAAGAGCAUUCUNNNNNNNNNNNNNNNNNNNNNNNNNNNNNNNNNNNNNNNNNNNNNNNNNNNNNNNNNNNNNNNNNNNNNNNNNNNNNNNNNNNNNNNNNNNNNNNNNNNNNNNNNNNNNNNNNNNNNNNNNNNNNNNNNNNNNNNNNNNNNNNNNNNNNNNNNNNNNNNNNNNNNNNNNNNNNNNNNNNNNNNNNNNNNNNNNNNNNNNNNNNNNNNNNNNNNNNNNNNNNNNNNNNNNNNNNNNNNNNNNNNNNCAGCAGAAUAAAAUAUUAUUAAUUUUAUUUUUUUUAUUUUGCUAUCUUACUAAUAAUUGGCAAUAAUAAUAAUAAUAAUAAUAAUAAUAAUAAUAUCUUUAAGGUUAAUGAUUUUAUUUUCUAAUUAAUAUGGAUAAUUUUAGAUUUUUAUAAUAUAUAUGACGAUAAACACGAAAUUAAGUAUAAAACUAAUUCUCAAAAUCCGAUUUUAAAAAUCUACUUUUUCCCUACUUUUUAAAAUCUUCAGUAAGAUAAGGUAAAUUUACCAAAAGUGAUUUCUGAAAAUAUUUAUCAAAUAAUAAAAUUAAUUUGUAACUUUUCAAAAUAACUUUUAAAUCUCGCAAAAAAAAAUCCUAAAUGAGUCCUAAGUACCUAACUUUAUGACGGUCAACAAAUAUGGUAUAAAAGUCUUCUACACCUACUGGGCAUUUGAAUGGGCCAUCUGUCUUAGCUCUUACCUCUUAAAAUGGGCUAAAAAUCAGAGAGUCAGUUAACUAAUAUGGGCUAAAAUUUGGGUACACCUCUCGGGCAUGUUAAUGGGCCAUCAUCUUUCACAGGUUUCUAAAGGGUAAAGGCUUUCUGUCUCCCAAGACUUCGACUAGUGAAAUUUAAUCGAUAUAAAUAUGUAGCUACCUAUAUUUAUAUAAGAAAAUGAUGUUCUCAUAAAUUUGCGUGCAAAGAUUUGCACAAAACGGUGCGUUUUGUGCAGCUUUAAAAAUGCUCUUCGUACGUGCACCAAACAACACACAAGCACGCCAAUUCACAACAUCAUUUUCCCACUCGCGUCUGCCUCCUUUCACUGCAACAAAAACCCAGCAGCUUCGUUCUCCACACAGCAAGAAGUCUCCUUAUUAAUAUAAUAUUAUAUAAUAAACUCAACAGAAGUCUCCUUUCUUCCUCCAUUUUUCCUCACGAGAUAGCUCCGAUCUCUCUCCCUCCGUCCUCCUUUCUUCCUUACAAGACAGCUCGGGUCUCUCUCUCUGGCCUCCUUUCUCCCUCACAAGAUAGUUCGGAUCUCUCUUUCCAGUCUCCACGCCGCUAAUAGUCCCAGUUCUAACCUCUCUCGCCCCGCAGCAACCAUAAGAUCUCUCUCUCACCCGUUUCAAUUCAUUGCUCUAAUUGAAAUCUUUAACUCGUUUAGGACAUUGUGCUGAAUUACCUAUGGAUGGUGGUGGUCUUAUGCUUGAGUGUUGUAAAUUAGAAUCAAAUUAUGCAAAACCUGAUGCCUUUGGGAAUCAUGUUUAUUUCAAGCUUCUAUGUUGUGAUUUGAUUAUUUGAUGAAGCACCUGGAAAAUGUAGUUUGCUCCCUCAAAUUAUUUUACUCUGUUGAAUAAAUUGUAUUUGCCAUUAUUUGAAAAGAAUUUAAAAAAAAAUUACAGCCCCGAAACAUUGAGCUUAUGCUAUAAUUUAAGCAUCUCCCUCAUUUAUAGCACAUUUAUUUUCAUAAUUUACGCGACAAUGGAGAACGGAGCCGAGACUGUUAGUGGCAUGGGGAUGAGAGAGAAAAAUAUGAGCUGUUUCGUGAGGUUUUGUUAGGUUUCGUGAGGGAGAAAGGAGAUGGGAGAGAGAGACGCUGAGUUUUGUUGCUCCCCUCACUUGUGUGUGUUUGGUGUUAAAACUUUGCAGCAAAGAGUGGCUUUUAUACUUUGCACAAAACGCACCGUUUUGUGCAAAGUUUUGUGCAAAGUGUUGUGAGAACAUCAUUUUCCAUUUAAAUAUUGGCUUUUCAUUUUUUUUCAAAUGAGAAUUGAUCCAGUGUGCACCAUCAUGCACAGCACAAGGUAUAUUUUCAUCAGUGGGCGCUAGGUCUCAUAGAUUGGUUCUCUCUAAUAAGAACAUGUCGUCUGUUGUCCCGCGCUAGAUCGAAUGCGUUUUCAAAUUUGUCAAAUUACAUUUUGAGCAUGUCAUAGUGGACGUUAUUACAAAGUCGUCAAUCUCAAUACAAUAAUCAUGACAUCAGGUUUUGAGAAUGUGAAUAAAACUCAUAUUUAUUUGAUAAAAUAUAAUUUAAAAAUAAAAAUAAAAUAUGUAUAUUCUAUAUAAUUUGAUAAUAAAAAAUAGAAAUCUCAUUUUUAUAUUGGGUUGGGAAUGAGGAUUCCUAUUUCUUGAACUGACUUUUAUAUCUCUCUAUUUUUUUCAUAUUUUUUAAAUUAUUCUCGUUUAAAUCACAAUUAAUUUGAUUACUGCUGUACGGCCAAGGCGGAUGCAAUAGAAUUGCACCUACAAAAGUAAAACAUAAGUAAAUCACUAUUAUUAAGUGCAAAACAUUGAUAUUAAGGGAAGUAAAUAAUGCAAAACUAGUGCAUAAAUUGCACUCUAACAGUAAUCAGUAAUCAGCAUUAAAAAUUAAAUUAAAUUAAAUUUUUUUGUUUUUAAUAUUAUUUAGUUAUAGACUUAUUAUUAUAUUUAUUCGUUCAUAAAACUAAAUAAUGUUAAAUCAAAUAAAAUAAUCAGGAAUGGUUCUUAAAAAAUUAAUAUUAUUUAUUUUAUUUUAUUUAAUAUUAUUUAGUCAUAGCCUAUUAUUCUGUUUAUUUUUUGAAAAUUAAAUAAUAUUAAAUAAAAAUCCCCCCUUUUCACAAUAGAUUCCUCCCUUCAAUACUCUCUCUCUCCUCUCUUUUAGAAUUCUAUUUAAAAUAAAAUACUAAUAUCUGAAAUAUUAAAUUCGUAAUUACAAAAAUAACCAAAAAUACAAAAUACGUUAAACUAAAAACUGCAGGUCCGCAGUUGACAGCACGCGCCCACGCCUUAUCAACAAAGUUCUUCUGACGCUCAUAAUUUCUCCAAGAGAACAAUCAUCCUUAAACAUCAUCUUAUAGCUCAAUUUUAUCAUCAAUCAAUAGAAUUACACCUACAAAAGUAAAACACAAGUAAAACAUUAUUAUUAAGUGCAAAACAUCGAUAUUAAGGGAAGUAAACAAUGCAAAACUAGUGCAUAAAUUGCACUCUAACAAAUUCCCCCACACCAAGAUGAUGCUUGUCCUCAAGCAUAUAACUCAAGACUAAUCUCAAAUCUCCACUAAAUUCUCAUCUCAACUCAUCCAAAAAUAAUUUUAAGCAAGCAUACCUCAAGAAAUUAAGUCGAUCAACAUUCGAGAGACAAGGAUUUUUAAAGCAUAGAAUCUCAUAAGAUAGAAUAAGAACAUUCAACCACCAAGAAGAUCCAUUCAAAAUUCAAGUGCAACAAGAUGUAAUAGCCCUCUCAAUAACUUCACUCCAUGCACUCAAAGUGUUUAGGGUAUCAUUUAUGCACUCAAAUCAAAUCAAAGAAUGCUAUUACCAUAAGCUUGCUCAUAUAUCACAUCUCAAUCCACAAAACAUGAAUAAAAUGAAAAAAUCUAAGGGUCUUAAAAGGGUUGUAAUGGGGUUAAAUAGGUUAAAUGAAAAAGAAAGGUCUAUGAAAGAAAAAGAGAUCAAAAUGAGAAGAAUGAACUCAUUGAAUGAACUUAUGAUAUCAAAAUGCUCCUUGGCCGUACAGCAGGAAUGGUUCUUAAAAAAUUAAUAUUAUUUAUUUUAUUUUAUUUAAUAUUAUUUAGUCAUAGCCUAUUAUUCUGUUUAUUUUUUGAAAAUUAAAUAAUAUUAAAUAAAAUAGAAUAGAAAAUGUGAGUCCUUAAAAAUAAAAAUUAUUUUUAAUAUUAUUUAUUUUAUUUAAAAGAAUAAAUUUUUUAAUAUUUUUAUUUUAUUAAAAAAUAUUAUUUAAUAUUAUCUAGUCAUAGGCUUAUUAUUAUAUUUCUUCUUUUAGAAAGUUAAAUAGUAUUAAAUGAAAUAAAAUUACAUUUUAGAAGGUCAUUAGCCAAAGCACAUAAACUUAUAAACAAAUGGAAAUAAAAAAGGUAAAUAAUAUUCAAUAAAAUAAAAUUACAUUUUAAAAGGUCACCAACCAAAGCACAUAAUAUUAUAACAAAAAUGUAAAUAAAAAAGAAAGUAAGAGAUUCAAUGAAAUUUAACAUCACAAAAGACAAUUUCAAAAAUUGGGGGUAGCUUGCAACUGUUGCAAAGUGGCUGGUUCCAUAAUUUUGAGAUAAUGUUUCGGUUUCAAAUAUUGUUAUCGAUACCUAAUUAUAAGUAAUAAAAAAAUAUUGUAUAAUUUUUUUACCAACAUUUACAAUACAUUUUAUUUUGAUUUCUGAAAAAAAUAGAUAAAACACAAAUUAAUUAUUUUAACCCUCUAUUCUCUCAAUAUUUAAACUCGAAUAAUCAGUUAAAAGUUGCUCGAGAAUGUUUAAAAGCCAUUUAAGUAUACCACGUCAUUCAUGUUUUGCAAUCAUUCAAUUGUUAAUAAGUUUCCCAUGUGCUGAAAAUAAAUAAAAAUGCACGUGCAUAUGUCAUAUUGUCUCCGAAACCUCACAGCGGAAUGAGUGUAGUACUUGCAAUGCAUGUACUUUAGACUUUGUAUUUCUCUUAUUUAAAUGAUCAAUAAUUUUUCUUUGUCCUUUAAUUAGACGUCAACAGUCGAAGUUGUGGGCAAGUAGUAGGCUAUAUAUAAUAAUUUCCUGGAGAUCUUCCGUCUUCUAAGACAUUGCAAAUGCCAAACGUGAUAACUAUUUUGAUAAUUCAAAUACUACAUAAAAUAUAUGAAGUGUCAGACAAGUCAAAAGAAUUGAUUCUUCACAAUUGUAUAUACGUAUACACACACUUUGCCCAAAUCCCAUUGUAUCCAGGCUGUAAUUUUUAUAUUAAACGAACAUAUUUUAUUUUAUGUCAGCAAUAUUGAUGCAGGCUGGUGGAACAACAGCUUCAGGAUGGUCAACUACCCUUCGGAUCAUUGCAAGUGGGAUGGCAUCACUUGCAAUUCAGAUGGAACCAUAAUCGGGCUAAAAUUAUCAGGGUAUGAUGUUGACUUCAAAAGGUAGUCUUCGUAAAAUUAUCAUGGUAUAAUAUACGUAUUUAUUUUCGCAUACAUAAAUAAAUAACAAAAUUGUAAUUAAUUGGAUACAACUUCAGCUUUUGGACUGGUUUGUGAAAAUCGGAAAAAUUUAAAAAUGCUCCUCUUGAACAAUCAAAAUCUACUUUAUACGUGAACAAAGGGGAUGAUUCGUAAAGAUAAUUCAUCAAUGUUUGAUUACUUUCAGAAAGAUAGACUUCAUUUGAUCUCGUCCCAAAGCAUAAUUUCACUUUGAAUUUGAAAAAGAAUAAUGAAGUUCAUACGAUGCUGUUGUGACCUUUUUUUUUUGUUUUCUUUUUUUCUCGACGUUGUUUUGUGAAUCAUAAGGGUUAAUUUAGUACGGUGGGUUCGCUUGUAUGAAGCGUACUUAUUGUACCAUUCUGUUGCAAGUAAUGAAAAAACGCUAUAAUUUUUUUUAGGUUUCUACAAGUAUUAUGUUAUCUUAUAUCUAACUGUGCAUCUCUAUUCUUUGCUCUCAGUUCAGGUUCUCUAAAAGUAUAUUAAUUAUGAAAAGCAUUAAAGGUUCCGAAACUCUAUUUUGCGGGGAAAAAGAACCUCCAUUUUUGGUUUUUUAUUAUCAUAAGAGGUUUUACUAUGCUCGUAAUAACUUAAUCGAAAUUAAACAUAUCACUGGUCUACAUUUUUUUAUCAGAUUUUGUGCCUUGCUAAUUAAGAUGAGUAUCACCAUCAAAUCAACAAGCUUAUACCUUCAAAGAAAAAUAGACUAUAAGUCGGGAGAAAGAAGAAGAAAAAAAAAAAGAAGCUUCGCAAUUUAUGCUGUUGGUUGUGAGUUCAUGAAACAAAUAAAAAUAUGAAAUCAAACAUUUAUCCAAAAUUUAAAAUUAAAAAAAAACUCUAUAUCUACAGUAAUCUGUUCAAACCACAUAGGUGGAGCAAUAGAGUUCCAAGACGUGGUUUUAAAACAUGUCUUUGUGAUAAACAAUAUCGUGAUACUUGCGCCAAUUCCCAUGCCAAUAAUUGCCUACAUUUAUCCAAGAUCCAUGGCCAGGUUUAGAAUGUGCUAGUCUUCUUUCACUUUCAUAAAUAACCACUACUAGGUAAUCAGAGUGUCGGUCUAAAUUUUUCGGAGAUACAACGUCAAUGUAUGUGCCCGGAGUUGAAGCUGAACGCGCUUAAAUAUGUUCGGAAUUUGAAGUUGAACGCCUGGAAAAGGAUGCAGACUGAAGAAAGGCAAUUCCUGGAAUUUGUCUUUGGUAAGAAAACAUGGCUGCUUAUGCCCUUUGAAAGACUGAAGAAACCAAAUUGAUUAUUGCUGCAAUUUAGUGGCACGUGUACAAGGAGAGGCAUCCGAUUAAACUUGUUCAUAAAAUUAUUGCUGAUAGUUGCAGCCGAUCUCCAUGAAGUACAAACCCAACGCAAAGAAACAAAGUGUUCGUACAAUUUUAUCCGCCAGCAAUUUCGACCAAGAGACCUUGAUGCAGUUCAGACCAAUUCGCCAGUUGAACAUCAAGUUGCCUAGGCAUUGAGAAUUAGGUCAAUAAAAUAUAUCCUGGGUCACUUACAAAAGAUGAAAUAAGUGAAAAAGGAAAGAUGACGUAAUAAUUUCUUAGUGAGAAAAGUUAGUUAAUUUUCAAUUGCUUUCAUUGUUUUGAUAAUUUUCAAAACAUUUCAUUGCUUUCAUUGCGUAAUUAAGCUUUUUUUGCUUCAAAAUAUUUCAAAUUGUGUUUGUGGGACUACUAAACAAUUAGGACACAACAAUGUUUCGUUCUGGUCUUUUUUUUUUUUUACUUUUUAAUUUAUUUUAAGAAAAUCUUUGUCCAUCUCUCAUCCUGCCAAAUAUAUCGUCUCGUCUUGUUAUCUAGAAUAAUUCUUCAUGCAUCAAUGAGUUUUGACAAAUUUUUAUCUUUUAAAAGUUGUUGUAAUUCAAUAUAGCUAAAAUCUUAAAUACAUACAUGUAGAAUAAUCUAAGCAUUACCUUAUUCGGGGAAAAUCGAGAUUAGAAUCAAUCAAAGCAAUGAUACCUUAUAUCAGUGAGAUAUAUGCAAGACUCACCCAUUGGUACAAACGAAAAUGAUCAAAGUGGAAGCAAAAAUGGAAUCCUCAAAUGUGGUGAUAAUUUAGAUGAUCUCCACUCUCCAUUUGGUUUCAUCUAAUAAGUUAGUGUUUAAUUAAGAAUUUAUUACUCAUUUUAUUAUGAUAUUAAUCAACUGCCGUCCCUUCCAUUAGUUCAUUAUUUUUGAUGGAUUACGAAAGACAGACAAUAAAAUUCUCCAAAACUGUUGUAAGAGUAAUAUUGUAAAAGUUACAUAAAAGUGAGGAUAAGGAUAAUUUGAGGUAUGUUUCAAGAUAUAAAGAUUAAAUAAAUUCUUAACUCAAAAUAAAGAGAUUUAUUUUUUUUAAAAGAGAUUAAAAUGUCAUGAUAAAUAAAUAAGGGAGGUGAUAUUCUGGGCUCUCCCCUGGCUUUUUGUGAUAACAUCUUAAAUUAAUAUAAAUAGUUAAAAUUUUAUUAAAAAAUAAAUUUUUACCUAAUACUCUUUGACAUAGCUAGGAAUAUAGCCUACUUGCAAGAGACUUACAUUCGUUUGCACAGCCCUUUCGUGAAUAUAAAAUUGCUGCCGAAUAAGCAUCUAAUUAAAAGAAUUAGGAAUUUGUCAACGGUAUAAAUUAAAUAUAAAAAACGAGUAAAAGAAUUUGUCAAUGGGAUAUGGGGGGCUAUGGCUUCAAUCGUAGGGGUGGGCAAAUUUCGGAUUCCGAAUCCGAUCGGAUUUUGGAUAAUUCGGAUUGGGAAAAAAUCCAUCCAAAUUCAAUCCGAACCUUAAAUCUGUUUCGAUCCGAGAUAAUUUCGGAUCCGGAUCAGAUUCGGAUGAGUUUGAAUUUCAGAUUAUAUUUCAAGUUCGGAUUAUAUUUUGGAUUCGGAUUAAUUCGGGUUUGGGACCUUUUUACAAUUCUCACAAAAAAAUUAUGAAAUUUAUAAUUAAUGAAAAAUAAUUUCCAUGAUGCUGUCAACAAUAAUUAAUAUUUUGAAAACGCAAUAACGGAAUUUUCAAAAAAAAGAAAAAGAAAACACAGGAACGGUAUUGAUAAAGAAUUUUCAUUAGCCAUUUGUGACUGCUAACUAAAUUGUAACAACUAAGUAAAAUAUAAUAAUAAUAAUAAUACAUGCGGGUAUAUUCAAAGCAACUAAAUCACUUGCGAAUGAUCAAGACAAAUCGUAUAAACAAGUAAAAAAUUCAAAGUUUCAAACGCAAAUCGUCGGGGGCUAUCGGAUUAGUGGAUUACCAUUAACAAGACGAGGUUUAUGUCGGUGUGAGUUGCUCAUUGUGGGUCUGGAUGAUGUCGCGAUGGCUGGGUUUGUGCCAACUAUGAUCCAGCUAGGUUUGUAUCGAAUCUGAUCUCGUCUAGAGGACGUUGUGGCGGCUGGGUUUGUGUCGAAUUCAUUCGGUUUGUCUCGUCGGCGACAUGGUUGUUGGUUGGCUCGUCAGGUUGUGGCCCGUGGGUGUGGUGUGGUUUGUUGUCGUGGAUUGACUUAUCAAAGGGCGUGCGACGAUGGUGUGUGGUUUUGUCAUUUGGAAAUUGAGUUUUGAUUUUUCAUUUUCGUUUUUUUAAAAAAAAAUUUUUGGAUUAUUCGGAUUGAACUGAAUCUUAUCCGAUCCAAAUCAAAUCCGAUCAGAUUACAAAAAUUUCAUCCGAUUGGAUUUUAAAGCAAAUCCAAAUCCGAUCCGAACAAAUUCGGAUCGAAUUGGAUUAGAUCGGAUCUAUCCGAAUCUGAUCCAAUGUCCACCCCUAUUCAAUCGGUUUCUGCAAUGGUUAAUGGCAUAUUUUUGCUCAUCGUCACCACUGAAUCCACUGAUCAUUUGUGCAUGUGAGUUGUUUUUGAGCAUUUAUUUUUCCCUUUAGAAGCAUAAGGAUAAGGCUAGUCUUCUUUUUGGGAGGACUUAUUGCUUCCAUUCGUUAAAAUUGGGCAUGUAAAAUGUCAAGAAAAAAUGGCCUAAGUGGCUAGCUAGAUGAUAUAAUGGAUGGUUACUACUCAAACCUAGCAAUAAAUGAAUGUCCGACAAGCAUUCAAAUGAAUGAAUAAAACCAAUCAGAUUAGAAUAUCUAUUUAUGAUAGAUUAAUGAAAAUACGAUUCAAAUAUAAGGUAAAUAAUCUCUCCAUUAAUUUUUUAUUGUUUCAGGCAGGGUUGCCAAGCCUCUGUCCGGGCUUCUAUAAGCUCAAUUCCAGCUCUCCUAUAUGAUUGAAUUAGAUCGGGCUAGGCCCUCGGACUUUUUAAUUAAAAAAGGUCGAUUUUUAAGUUUAUGAAGUUAAUACACUCACGCUUAUACUUUAAUAUUUUUAUUAUUUGGCUUUUAGAAUAUUAACGUGUAAAUUACUUUUUUUUUUCAAGUGAAAUAAUUAUCACAUUUUGUCUUCUUAGUAUAUAUUUCUACCUUUUUGUUCCUAUAGAUAUUUCCUCAUUUCAUCUUUGGUACUAGAGCGUAGUAAAAAAACACAUGAUUAAAGAUAAAUAUGACAUUUUAACUAACAAAUUAAUUAUUUGUAUCUAAGAUCUAGCUCUAGUGGUAAAGAUCAAUUUUCAUCGAAUUCAAGUCUUGGGUUUGAAUUUAAAUGCAUGGGUAAGUUAAUAAUAAUAAUAAUAAUAAUAAUAAUAAUAAUAAUAAUAAUAAUAAUAAUAAUAAUAAUAAUAAUAAUAAUAAUAAUAAUAAUAAUAAUAAUAAUAAUAAUAAUAAUAAUAAUAAUAAUAAUAAUAAUAAUAAUAAUAAUAAUAAUAAUAAUAAUAAUAAUAAUAAUAAUAAUAAUAAUAAUAAUAAUAAUAAUAAUAAUAAUAAUAAUAAUAAUAAUAAUAAUAAUAAUAAUAAUAAUAAUAAUAAUAAUAAUAAUAAUAAUAAUAAUAAUAAUAAUAAUAAUAAUAAUAAUAAUAAUAAUAAUAAUAAUAAUAAUAAUAAUAAUAAUAAUAAUAAUAAUAAUAAUAAUAAUAAUAAUAAUAAUAAUAAUAAUAAUAAUAAUAAUAAUAAUAAUAAUAAUAAUAAUAAUAAUAAUAAUAAUAAUAAUAAUAAUAAUAAUAAUAAUAAUAAUAAUAAUAAUAAUAAUAAUAAUAAUAAUAAUAAUAAUAAUAAUAAUAAUAAUAAUAAUAAUAAUAAUAAUAAUAAUAAUAAUAAUAAUAAUAAUAAUAAUAAUAAUAAUAAUAAUAAUAAUAAUAAUAAUAAUAAUAAUAAUAAUAAUAAUAAUAAUAAUAAUAAUAAUAAUAAUAAUAAUAAUAAUAAUAAUAAUAAUAAUAAUAAUAAUAAUAAUAAUAAUAAUAAUAAUAAUAAUAAUAAUAAUAAUAAUAAUAAUAAUAAUAAUAAUAAUAAUAAUAAUAAUAAUAAUAAUAAUAAUAAUAAUAAUAAUAAUAAUAAUAAUAAUAAUAAUAAUAAUAAUAAUAAUAAUAAUAAUAAUAAUAAUAAUAAUAAUAAUAAUAAUAAUAAUAAUAAUAAUAAUAAUAAUAAUAAUAAUAAUAAUAAUAAUAAUAAUAAUAAUAAUAAUAAUAAUAAUAAUAAUAAUAAUAAUAAUAAUAAUAAUAAUAAUAAUAAUAAUAAUAAUAAUAAUAAUAAUAAUAAUAAUAAUAAUAAUAAUAAUAAUAAUAAUAAUAAUAAUAAUAAUAAUAAUAAUAAUAAUAAUAAUAAUAAUAAUAAUAAUAAUAAUAAUAAUAAUAAUAAUAAUAAUAAUAAUAAUAAUAAUAAUAAUAAUAAUAAUAAUAAUAAUAAUAAUAAUAAUAAUAAUAAUAAUAAUAAUAAUAAUAAUAAUAAUAAUAAUAAUAAUAAUAAUAAUAAUAAUAAUAAUAAUAAUAAUAAUAAUAAUAAUAAUAAUAAUAAUAAUAAUAAUAAUAAUAAUAAUAAUAAUAAUAAUAAUAAUAAUAAUAAUAAUAAUAAUAAUAAUAAUAAUAAUAAUAAUAAUAAUAAUAAUAAUAAUAAUAAUAAUAAUAAUAAUAAUAAUAAUAAUAAUAAUAAUAAUAAUAAUAAUAAUAAUAAUAAUAAUAAUAAUAAUAAUAAUAAUAAUAAUAAUAAUAAUAAUAAUAAUAAUAAUAAUAAUAAUAAUAAUAAUAAUAAUAAUAAUAAUAAUAAUAAUAAUAAUAAUAAUAAUAAUAAUAAUAAUAAUAAUAAUAAUAAUAAUAAUAAUAAUAAUAAUAAUAAUAAUAAUAAUAAUAAUAAUAAUAAUAAUAAUAAUAAUAAUAAUAAUAAUAAUAAUAAUAAUAAUAAUAAUAAUAAUAAUAAUAAUAAUAAUAAUAAUAAUAAUAAUAAUAAUAAUAAUAAUAAUAAUAAUAAUAAUAAUAAUAAUAAUAAUAAUAAUAAUAAUAAUAAUAAUAAUAAUAAUAAUAAUAAUAAUAAUAAUAAUAAUAAUAAUAAUAAUAAUAAUAAUAAUAAUAAUAAUAAUAAUAAUAAUAAUAAUAAUAAUAAUAAUAAUAAUAAUAAUAAUAAUAAUAAUAAUAAUAAUAAUAAUAAUAAUAAUAAUAAUAAUAAUAAUAAUAAUAAUAAUAAUAAUAAUAAUAAUAAUAAUAAUAAUAAUAAUAAUAAUAAUAAUAAUAAUAAUAAUAAUAAUAAUAAUAAUAAUAAUAAUAAUAAUAAUAAUAAUAAUAAUAAUAAUAAUAAUAAUAAUAAUAAUAAUAAUAAUAAUAAUAAUAAUAAUAAUAAUAAUAAUAAUAAUAAUAAUAAUAAUAAUAAUAAUAAUAAUAAUAAUAAUAAUAAUAAUAAUAAUAAUAAUAAUAAUAAUAAUAAUAAUAAUAAUAAUAAUAAUAAUAAUAAUAAUAAUAAUAAUAAUAAUAAUAAUAAUAAUAAUAAUAAUAAUAAUAAUAAUAAUAAUAAUAAUAAUAAUAAUAAUAAUAAUAAUAAUAAUAAUAAUAAUAAUAAUAAUAAUAAUAAUAAUAAUAAUAAUAAUAAUAAUAAUAAUAAUAAUAAUAAUAAUAAUAAUAAUAAUAAUAAUAAUAAUAAUAAUAAUAAUAAUAAUAAUAAUAAUAAUAAUAAUAAUAAUAAUAAUAAUAAUAAUAAUAAUAAUAAUAAUAAUAAUAAUAAUAAUAAUAAUAAUAAUAAUAAUAAUAAUAAUAAUAAUAAUAAUAAUAAUAAUAAUAAUAAUAAUAAUAAUAAUAAUAAUAAUAAUAAUAAUAAUAAUAAUAAUAAUAAUAAUAAUAAUAAUAAUAAUAAUAAUAAUAAUAAUAAUAAUAAUAAUAAUAAUAAUAAUAAUAAUAAUAAUAAUAAUAAUAAUAAUAAUAAUAAUAAUAAUAAUAAUAAUAAUAAUAAUAAUAAUAAUAAUAAUAAUAAUAAUAAUAAUAAUAAUAAUAAUAAUAAUAAUAAUAAUAAUAAUAAUAAUAAUAAUAAUAAUAAUAAUAAUAAUAAUAAUAAUAAUAAUAAUAAUAAUAAUAAUAAUAAUAAUAAUAAUAAUAAUAAUAAUAAUAAUAAUAAUAAUAAUAAUAAUAAUAAUAAUAAUAAUAAUAAUAAUAAUAAUAAUAAUAAUAAUAAUAAUAAUAAUAAUAAUAAUAAUAAUAAUAAUAAUAAUAAUAAUAAUAAUAAUAAUAAUAAUAAUAAUAAUAAUAAUAAUAAUAAUAAUAAUAAUAAUAAUAAUAAUAAUAAUAAUAAUAAUAAUAAUAAUAAUAAUAAUAAUAAUAAUAAUAAUAAUAAUAAUAAUAAUAAUAAUAAUAAUAAUAAUAAUAAUAAUAAUAAUAAUAAUAAUAAUAAUAAUAAUAAUAAUAAUAAUAAUAAUAAUAAUAAUAAUAAUAAUAAUAAUAAUAAUAAUAAUAAUAAUAAUAAUAAUAAUAAUAAUAAUAAUAAUAAUAAUAAUAAUAAUAAUAAUAAUAAUAAUAAUAAUAAUAAUAAUAAUAAUAAUAAUAAUAAUAAUAAUAAUAAUAAUAAUAAUAAUAAUAAUAAUAAUAAUAAUAAUAAUAAUAAUAAUAAUAAUAAUAAUAAUAAUAAUAAUAAUAAUAAUAAUAAUAAUAAUAAUAAUAAUAAUAAUAAUAAUAAUAAUAAUAAUAAUAAUAAUAAUAAUAAUAAUAAUAAUAAUAAUAAUAAUAAUAAUAAUAAUAAUAAUAAUAAUAAUAAUAAUAAUAAUAAUAAUAAUAAUAAUAAUAAUAAUAAUAAUAAUAAUAAUAAUAAUAAUAAUAAUAAUAAUAAUAAUAAUAAUAAUAAUAAUAAUAAUAAUAAUAAUAAUAAUAAUAAUAAUAAUAAUAAUAAUAAUAAUAAUAAUAAUAAUAAUAAUAAUAAUAAUAAUAAUAAUAAUAAUAAUAAUAAUAAUAAUAAUAAUAAUAAUAAUAAUAAUAAUAAUAAUAAUAAUAAUAAUAAUAAUAAUAAUAAUAAUAAUAAUAAUAAUAAUAAUAAUAAUAAUAAUAAUAAUAAUAAUAAUAAUAAUAAUAAUAAUAAUAAUAAUAAUAAUAAUAAUAAUAAUAAUAAUAAUAAUAAUAAUAAUAAUAAUAAUAAUAAUAAUAAUAAUAAUAAUAAUAAUAAUAAUAAUAAUAAUAAUAAUAAUAAUAAUAAUAAUAAUAAUAAUAAUAAUAAUAAUAAUAAUAAUAAUAAUAAUAAUAAUAAUAAUAAUAAUAAUAAUAAUAAUAAUAAUAAUAAUAAUAAUAAUAAUAAUAAUAAUAAUAAUAAUAAUAAUAAUAAUAAUAAUAAUAAUAAUAAUAAUAAUAAUAAUAAUAAUAAUAAUAAUAAUAAUAAUAAUAAUAAUAAUAAUAAUAAUAAUAAUAAUAAUAAUAAUAAUAAUAAUAAUAAUAAUAAUAAUAAUAAUAAUAAUAAUAAUAAUAAUAAUAAUAAUAAUAAUAAUAAUAAUAAUAAUAAUAAUAAUAAUAAUAAUAAUAAUAAUAAUAAUAAUAAUAAUAAUAAUAAUAAUAAUAAUAAUAAUAAUAAUAAUAAUAAUAAUAAUAAUAAUAAUAAUAAUAAUAAUAAUAAUAAUAAUAAUAAUAAUAAUAAUAAUAAUAAUAAUAAUAAUAAUAAUAAUAAUAAUAAUAAUAAUAAUAAUAAUAAUAAUAAUAAUAAUAAUAAUAAUAAUAAUAAUAAUAAUAAUAAUAAUAAUAAUAAUAAUAAUAAUAAUAAUAAUAAUAAUAAUAAUAAUAAUAAUAAUAAUAAUAAUAAUAAUAAUAAUAAUAAUAAUAAUAAUAAUAAUAAUAAUAAUAAUAAUAAUAAUAAUAAUAAUAAUAAUAAUAAUAAUAAUAAUAAUAAUAAUAAUAAUAAUAAUAAUAAUAAUAAUAAUAAUAAUAAUAAUAAUAAUAAUAAUAAUAAUAAUAAUAAUAAUAAUAAUAAUAAUAAUAAUAAUAAUAAUAAUAAUAAUAAUAAUAAUAAUAAUAAUAAUAAUAAUAAUAAUAAUAAUAAUAAUAAUAAUAAUAAUAAUAAUAAUAAUAAUAAUAAUAAUAAUAAUAAUAAUAAUAAUAAUAAUAAUAAUAAUAAUAAUAAUAAUAAUAAUAAUAAUAAUAAUAAUAAUAAUAAUAAUAAUAAUAAUAAUAAUAAUAAUAAUAAUAAUAAUAAUAAUAAUAAUAAUAAUAAUAAUAAUAAUAAUAAUAAUAAUAAUAAUAAUAAUAAUAAUAAUAAUAAUAAUAAUAAUAAUAAUAAUAAUAAUAAUAAUAAUAAUAAUAAUAAUAAUAAUAAUAAUAAUAAUAAUAAUAAUAAUAAUAAUAAUAAUAAUAAUAAUAAUAAUAAUAAUAAUAAUAAUAAUAAUAAUAAUAAUAAUAAUAAUAAUAAUAAUAAUAAUAAUAAUAAUAAUAAUAAUAAUAAUAAUAAUAAUAAUAAUAAUAAUAAUAAUAAUAAUAAUAAUAAUAAUAAUAAUAAUAAUAAUAAUAAUAAUAAUAAUAAUAAUAAUAAUAAUAAUAAUAAUAAUAAUAAUAAUAAUAAUAAUAAUAAUAAUAAUAAUAAUAAUAAUAAUAAUAAUAAUAAUAAUAAUAAUAAUAAUAAUAAUAAUAAUAAUAAUAAUAAUAAUAAUAAUAAUAAUAAUAAUAAUAAUAAUAAUAAUAAUAAUAAUAAUAAUAAUAAUAAUAAUAAUAAUAAUAAUAAUAAUAAUAAUAAUAAUAAUAAUAAUAAUAAUAAUAAUAAUAAUAAUAAUAAUAAUAAUAAUAAUAAUAAUAAUAAUAAUAAUAAUAAUAAUAAUAAUAAUAAUAAUAAUAAUAAUAAUAAUAAUAAUAAUAAUAAUAAUAAUAAUAAUAAUAAUAAUAAUAAUAAUAAUAAUAAUAAUAAUAAUAAUAAUAAUAAUAAUAAUAAUAAUAAUAAUAAUAAUAAUAAUAAUAAUAAUAAUAAUAAUAAUAAUAAUAAUAAUAAUAAUAAUAAUAAUAAUAAUAAUAAUAAUAAUAAUAAUAAUAAUAAUAAUAAUAAUAAUAAUAAUAAUAAUAAUAAUAAUAAUAAUAAUAAUAAUAAUAAUAAUAAUAAUAAUAAUAAUAAUAAUAAUAAUAAUAAUAAUAAUAAUAAUAAUAAUAAUAAUAAUAAUAAUAAUAAUAAUAAUAAUAAUAAUAAUAAUAAUAAUAAUAAUAAUAAUAAUAAUAAUAAUAAUAAUAAUAAUAAUAAUAAUAAUAAUAAUAAUAAUAAUAAUAAUAAUAAUAAUAAUAAUAAUAAUAAUAAUAAUAAUAAUAAUAAUAAUAAUAAUAAUAAUAAUAAUAAUAAUAAUAAUAAUAAUAAUAAUAAUAAUAAUAAUAAUAAUAAUAAUAAUAAUAAUAAUAAUAAUAAUAAUAAUAAUAAUAAUAAUAAUAAUAAUAAUAAUAAUAAUAAUAAUAAUAAUAAUAAUAAUAAUAAUAAUAAUAAUAAUAAUAAUAAUAAUAAUAAUAAUAAUAAUAAUAAUAAUAAUAAUAAUAAUAAUAAUAAUAAUAAUAAUAAUAAUAAUAAUAAUAAUAAUAAUAAUAAUAAUAAUAAUAAUAAUAAUAAUAAUAAUAAUAAUAAUAAUAAUAAUAAUAAUAAUAAUAAUAAUAAUAAUAAUAAUAAUAAUAAUAAUAAUAAUAAUAAUAAUAAUAAUAAUAAUAAUAAUAAUAAUAAUAAUAAUAAUAAUAAUAAUAAUAAUAAUAAUAAUAAUAAUAAUAAUAAUAAUAAUAAUAAUAAUAAUAAUAAUAAUAAUAAUAAUAAUAAUAAUAAUAAUAAUAAUAAUAAUAAUAAUAAUAAUAAUAAUAAUAAUAAUAAUAAUAAUAAUAAUAAUAAUAAUAAUAAUAAUAAUAAUAAUAAUAAUAAUAAUAAUAAUAAUAAUAAUAAUAAUAAUAAUAAUAAUAAUAAUAAUAAUAAUAAUAAUAAUAAUAAUAAUAAUAAUAAUAAUAAUAAUAAUAAUAAUAAUAAUAAUAAUAAUAAUAAUAAUAAUAAUAAUAAUAAUAAUAAUAAUAAUAAUAAUAAUAAUAAUAAUAAUAAUAAUAAUAAUAAUAAUAAUAAUAAUAAUAAUAAUAAUAAUAAUAAUAAUAAUAAUAAUAAUAAUAAUAAUAAUAAUAAUAAUAAUAAUAAUAAUAAUAAUAAUAAUAAUAAUAAUAAUAAUAAUAAUAAUAAUAAUAAUAAUAAUAAUAAUAAUAAUAAUAAUAAUAAUAAUAAUAAUAAUAAUAAUAAUAAUAAUAAUAAUAAUAAUAAUAAUAAUAAUAAUAAUAAUAAUAAUAAUAAUAAUAAUAAUAAUAAUAAUAAUAAUAAUAAUAAUAAUAAUAAUAAUAAUAAUAAUAAUAAUAAUAAUAAUAAUAAUAAUAAUAAUAAUAAUAAUAAUAAUAAUAAUAAUAAUAAUAAUAAUAAUAAUAAUAAUAAUAAUAAUAAUAAUAAUAAUAAUAAUAAUAAUAAUAAUAAUAAUAAUAAUAAUAAUAAUAAUAAUAAUAAUAAUAAUAAUAAUAAUAAUAAUAAUAAUAAUAAUAAUAAUAAUAAUAAUAAUAAUAAUAAUAAUAAUAAUAAUAAUAAUAAUAAUAAUAAUAAUAAUAAUAAUAAUAAUAAUAAUAAUAAUAAUAAUAAUAAUAAUAAUAAUAAUAAUAAUAAUAAUAAUAAUAAUAAUAAUAAUAAUAAUAAUAAUAAUAAUAAUAAUAAUAAUAAUAAUAAUAAUAAUAAUAAUAAUAAUAAUAAUAAUAAUAAUAAUAAUAAUAAUAAUAAUAAUAAUAAUAAUAAUAAUAAUAAUAAUAAUAAUAAUAAUAAUAAUAAUAAUAAUAAUAAUAAUAAUAAUAAUAAUAAUAAUAAUAAUAAUAAUAAUAAUAAUAAUAAUAAUAAUAAUAAUAAUAAUAAUAAUAAUAAUAAUAAUAAUAAUAAUAAUAAUAAUAAUAAUAAUAAUAAUAAUAAUAAUAAUAAUAAUAAUAAUAAUAAUAAUAAUAAUAAUAAUAAUAAUAAUAAUAAUAAUAAUAAUAAUAAUAAUAAUAAUAAUAAUAAUAAUAAUAAUAAUAAUAAUAAUAAUAAUAAUAAUAAUAAUAAUAAUAAUAAUAAUAAUAAUAAUAAUAAUAAUAAUAAUAAUAAUAAUAAUAAUAAUAAUAAUAAUAAUAAUAAUAAUAAUAAUAAUAAUAAUAAUAAUAAUAAUAAUAAUAAUAAUAAUAAUAAUAAUAAUAAUAAUAAUAAUAAUAAUAAUAAUAAUAAUAAUAAUAAUAAUAAUAAUAAUAAUAAUAAUAAUAAUAAUAAUAAUAAUAAUAAUAAUAAUAAUAAUAAUAAUAAUAAUAAUAAUAAUAAUAAUAAUAAUAAUAAUAAUAAUAAUAAUAAUAAUAAUAAUAAUAAUAAUAAUAAUAAUAAUAAUAAUAAUAAUAAUAAUAAUAAUAAUAAUAAUAAUAAUAAUAAUAAUAAUAAUAAUAAUAAUAAUAAUAAUAAUAAUAAUAAUAAUAAUAAUAAUAAUAAUAAUAAUAAUAAUAAUAAUAAUAAUAAUAAUAAUAAUAAUAAUAAUAAUAAUAAUAAUAAUAAUAAUAAUAAUAAUAAUAAUAAUAAUAAUAAUAAUAAUAAUAAUAAUAAUAAUAAUAAUAAUAAUAAUAAUAAUAAUAAUAAUAAUAAUAAUAAUAAUAAUAAUAAUAAUAAUAAUAAUAAUAAUAAUAAUAAUAAUAAUAAUAAUAAUAAUAAUAAUAAUAAUAAUAAUAAUAAUAAUAAUAAUAAUAAUAAUAAUAAUAAUAAUAAUAAUAAUAAUAAUAAUAAUAAUAAUAAUAAUAAUAAUAAUAAUAAUAAUAAUAAUAAUAAUAAUAAUAAUAAUAAUAAUAAUAAUAAUAAUAAUAAUAAUAAUAAUAAUAAUAAUAAUAAUAAUAAUAAUAAUAAUAAUAAUAAUAAUAAUAAUAAUAAUAAUAAUAAUAAUAAUAAUAAUAAUAAUAAUAAUAAUAAUAAUAAUAAUAAUAAUAAUAAUAAUAAUAAUAAUAAUAAUAAUAAUAAUAAUAAUAAUAAUAAUAAUAAUAAUAAUAAUAAUAAUAAUAAUAAUAAUAAUAAUAAUAAUAAUAAUAAUAAUAAUAAUAAUAAUAAUAAUAAUAAUAAUAAUAAUAAUAAUAAUAAUAAUAAUAAUAAUAAUAAUAAUAAUAAUAAUAAUAAUAAUAAUAAUAAUAAUAAUAAUAAUAAUAAUAAUAAUAAUAAUAAUAAUAAUAAUAAUAAUAAUAAUAAUAAUAAUAAUAAUAAUAAUAAUAAUAAUAAUAAUAAUAAUAAUAAUAAUAAUAAUAAUAAUAAUAAUAAUAAUAAUAAUAAUAAUAAUAAUAAUAAUAAUAAUAAUAAUAAUAAUAAUAAUAAUAAUAAUAAUAAUAAUAAUAAUAAUAAUAAUAAUAAUAAUAAUAAUAAUAAUAAUAAUAAUAAUAAUAAUAAUAAUAAUAAUAAUAAUAAUAAUAAUAAUAAUAAUAAUAAUAAUAAUAAUAAUAAUAAUAAUAAUAAUAAUAAUAAUAAUAAUAAUAAUAAUAAUAAUAAUAAUAAUAAUAAUAAUAAUAAUAAUAAUAAUAAUAAUAAUAAUAAUAAUAAUAAUAAUAAUAAUAAUAAUAAUAAUAAUAAUAAUAAUAAUAAUAAUAAUAAUAAUAAUAAUAAUAAUAAUAAUAAUAAUAAUAAUAAUAAUAAUAAUAAUAAUAAUAAUAAUAAUAAUAAUAAUAAUAAUAAUAAUAAUAAUAAUAAUAAUAAUAAUAAUAAUAAUAAUAAUAAUAAUAAUAAUAAUAAUAAUAAUAAUAAUAAUAAUAAUAAUAAUAAUAAUAAUAAUAAUAAUAAUAAUAAUAAUAAUAAUAAUAAUAAUAAUAAUAAUAAUAAUAAUAAUAAUAAUAAUAAUAAUAAUAAUAAUAAUAAUAAUAAUAAUAAUAAUAAUAAUAAUAAUAAUAAUAAUAAUAAUAAUAAUAAUAAUAAUAAUAAUAAUAAUAAUAAUAAUAAUAAUAAUAAUAAUAAUAAUAAUAAUAAUAAUAAUAAUAAUAAUAAUAAUAAUAAUAAUAAUAAUAAUAAUAAUAAUAAUAAUAAUAAUAAUAAUAAUAAUAAUAAUAAUAAUAAUAAUAAUAAUAAUAAUAAUAAUAAUAAUAAUAAUAAUAAUAAUAAUAAUAAUAAUAAUAAUAAUAAUAAUAAUAAUAAUAAUAAUAAUAAUAAUAAUAAUAAUAAUAAUAAUAAUAAUAAUAAUAAUAAUAAUAAUAAUAAUAAUAAUAAUAAUAAUAAUAAUAAUAAUAAUAAUAAUAAUAAUAAUAAUAAUAAUAAUAAUAAUAAUAAUAAUAAUAAUAAUAAUAAUAAUAAUAAUAAUAAUAAUAAUAAUAAUAAUAAUAAUAAUAAUAAUAAUAAUAAUAAUAAUAAUAAUAAUAAUAAUAAUAAUAAUAAUAAUAAUAAUAAUAAUAAUAAUAAUAAUAAUAAUAAUAAUAAUAAUAAUAAUAAUAAUAAUAAUAAUAAUAAUAAUAAUAAUAAUAAUAAUAAUAAUAAUAAUAAUAAUAAUAAUAAUAAUAAUAAUAAUAAUAAUAAUAAUAAUAAUAAUAAUAAUAAUAAUAAUAAUAAUAAUAAUAAUAAUAAUAAUAAUAAUAAUAAUAAUAAUAAUAAUAAUAAUAAUAAUAAUAAUAAUAAUAAUAAUAAUAAUAAUAAUAAUAAUAAUAAUAAUAAUAAUAAUAAUAAUAAUAAUAAUAAUAAUAAUAAUAAUAAUAAUAAUAAUAAUAAUAAUAAUAAUAAUAAUAAUAAUAAUAAUAAUAAUAAUAAUAAUAAUAAUAAUAAUAAUAAUAAUAAUAAUAAUAAUAAUAAUAAUAAUAAUAAUAAUAAUAAUAAUAAUAAUAAUAAUAAUAAUAAUAAUAAUAAUAAUAAUAAUAAUAAUAAUAAUAAUAAUAAUAAUAAUAAUAAUAAUAAUAAUAAUAAUAAUAAUAAUAAUAAUAAUAAUAAUAAUAAUAAUAAUAAUAAUAAUAAUAAUAAUAAUAAUAAUAAUAAUAAUAAUAAUAAUAAUAAUAAUAAUAAUAAUAAUAAUAAUAAUAAUAAUAAUAAUAAUAAUAAUAAUAAUAAUAAUAAUAAUAAUAAUAAUAAUAAUAAUAAUAAUAAUAAUAAUAAUAAUAAUAAUAAUAAUAAUAAUAAUAAUAAUAAUAAUAAUAAUAAUAAUAAUAAUAAUAAUAAUAAUAAUAAUAAUAAUAAUAAUAAUAAUAAUAAUAAUAAUAAUAAUAAUAAUAAUAAUAAUAAUAAUAAUAAUAAUAAUAAUAAUAAUAAUAAUAAUAAUAAUAAUAAUAAUAAUAAUAAUAAUAAUAAUAAUAAUAAUAAUAAUAAUAAUAAUAAUAAUAAUAAUAAUAAUAAUAAUAAUAAUAAUAAUAAUAAUAAUAAUAAUAAUAAUAAUAAUAAUAAUAAUAAUAAUAAUAAUAAUAAUAAUAAUAAUAAUAAUAAUAAUAAUAAUAAUAAUAAUAAUAAUAAUAAUAAUAAUAAUAAUAAUAAUAAUAAUAAUAAUAAUAAUAAUAAUAAUAAUAAUAAUAAUAAUAAUAAUAAUAAUAAUAAUAAUAAUAAUAAUAAUAAUAAUAAUAAUAAUAAUAAUAAUAAUAAUAAUAAUAAUAAUAAUAAUAAUAAUAAUAAUAAUAAUAAUAAUAAUAAUAAUAAUAAUAAUAAUAAUAAUAAUAAUAAUAAUAAUAAUAAUAAUAAUAAUAAUAAUAAUAAUAAUAAUAAUAAUAAUAAUAAUAAUAAUAAUAAUAAUAAUAAUAAUAAUAAUAAUAAUAAUAAUAAUAAUAAUAAUAAUAAUAAUAAUAAUAAUAAUAAUAAUAAUAAUAAUAAUAAUAAUAAUAAUAAUAAUAAUAAUAAUAAUAAUAAUAAUAAUAAUAAUAAUAAUAAUAAUAAUAAUAAUAAUAAUAAUAAUAAUAAUAAUAAUAAUAAUAAUAAUAAUAAUAAUAAUAAUAAUAAUAAUAAUAAUAAUAAUAAUAAUAAUAAUAAUAAUAAUAAUAAUAAUAAUAAUAAUAAUAAUAAUAAUAAUAAUAAUAAUAAUAAUAAUAAUAAUAAUAAUAAUAAUAAUAAUAAUAAUAAUAAUAAUAAUAAUAAUAAUAAUAAUAAUAAUAAUAAUAAUAAUAAUAAUAAUAAUAAUAAUAAUAAUAAUAAUAAUAAUAAUAAUAAUAAUAAUAAUAAUAAUAAUAAUAAUAAUAAUAAUAAUAAUAAUAAUAAUAAUAAUAAUAAUAAUAAUAAUAAUAAUAAUAAUAAUAAUAAUAAUAAUAAUAAUAAUAAUAAUAAUAAUAAUAAUAAUAAUAAUAAUAAUAAUAAUAAUAAUAAUAAUAAUAAUAAUAAUAAUAAUAAUAAUAAUAAUAAUAAUAAUAAUAAUAAUAAUAAUAAUAAUAAUAAUAAUAAUAAUAAUAAUAAUAAUAAUAAUAAUAAUAAUAAUAAUAAUAAUAAUAAUAAUAAUAAUAAUAAUAAUAAUAAUAAUAAUAAUAAUAAUAAUAAUAAUAAUAAUAAUAAUAAUAAUAAUAAUAAUAAUAAUAAUAAUAAUAAUAAUAAUAAUAAUAAUAAUAAUAAUAAUAAUAAUAAUAAUAAUAAUAAUAAUAAUAAUAAUAAUAAUAAUAAUAAUAAUAAUAAUAAUAAUAAUAAUAAUAAUAAUAAUAAUAAUAAUAAUAAUAAUAAUAAUAAUAAUAAUAAUAAUAAUAAUAAUAAUAAUAAUAAUAAUAAUAAUAAUAAUAAUAAUAAUAGAGAAGAGAAAAAUUAGAUCUAGGGUUUCUUUCUUUUUCUCCAAUCCAAAAAUCCCCCCUUUUCACAAUAGAUUCCUCCCUUAAAUACUCUCUCUCUCUUCUCCUCUAGAAUUCUAUUUAAAAUAAAAUACUAACAUCUGAAAUAUUAAAUUCGUAAUUACAAAAAUAACCAAAAAUACAAAACACGUUAAACUAAAAACUGCAGGUCCGCAGUUGACAGCACGCGCCCACGCCUUAUCAACAAAGUUCUUCUGACGCUCAUAAUUUCUCCAAGAGAACAAUCAUCCUUAAACAUCAUCUUAUAGCUCAAUUUUAUCAUCAAUCAAUAGAAUUGCACCUACAAAAGUAAAACAUAAGUAAAUCACUAUUAUUAAGUGCAAAACAUUGAUAUUAAGGGAAGUAAAUAAUGCAAAACUAGUGCAUAAAUUGCACUCUAACAGUAAUCAGUAAUCAGCAUUAAAAAUUAAAUUAAAUUAAAUUUUUUUGUUUUUAAUAUUAUUUAGUUAUAGACUUAUUAUUAUAUUUAUUCGUUCAUAAAACUAAAUAAUGUUAAAUCAAAUAAAAUAAUCAGGAAUGGUUCUUAAAAAAUUAAUAUUAUUUAUUUUAUUUUAUUUAAUAUUAUUUAGUCAUAGCCUAUUAUUCUGUUUAUUUUUUGAAAAUUAAAUAAUAUUAAAUAAAAUAGAAUAGAAAAUGUGAGUCCUUAAAAAUAAAAAUUAUUUUUAAUAUUAUUUAUUUUAUUUAAAAGAAUAAAUUUUUUAAUAUUUUUAUUUUAUUAAAAAAUAUUAUUUAAUAUUAUCUAGUCAUAGGCUUAUUAUUAUAUUUCUUCUUUUAGAAAGUUAAAUAGUAUUAAAUGAAAUAAAAUUACAUUUUAGAAGGUCAUUAGCCAAAGCACAUAAACUUAUAAACAAAUGGAAAUAAAAAAGGUAAAUAAUAUUCAAUAAAAUAAAAUUACAUUUUAAAAGGUCACCAACCAAAGCACAUAAUAUUAUAACAAAAAUGUAAAUAAAAAAGAAAGUAAGAGAUUCAAUGAAAUUUAACAUCACAAAAGACAAUUUCAAAAAUUGGGGGUAGCUUGCAACUGUUGCAAAGUGGCUGGUUCCAUAAUUUUGAGAUAAUGUUUCGGUUUCAAAUAUUGUUAUCGAUACCUAAUUAUAAGUAAUAAAAAAAUAUUGUAUAAUUUUUUUACCAACAUUUACAAUACAUUUUAUUUUGAUUUCUGAAAAAAAUAGAUAAAACACAAAUUAAUUAUUUUAACCCUCUAUUCUCUCAAUAUUUAAACUCGAAUAAUCAGUUAAAAGUUGCUCGAGAAUGUUUAAAAGCCAUUUAAGUAUACCACGUCAUUCAUGUUUUGCAAUCAUUCAAUUGUUAAUAAGUUUCCCAUGUGCUGAAAAUAAAUAAAAAUGCACGUGCAUAUGUCAUAUUGUCUCCGAAACCUCACAGCGGAAUGAGUGUAGUACUUGCAAUGCAUGUACUUUAGACUUUGUAUUUCUCUUAUUUAAAUGAUCAAUAAUUUUUCUUUGUCCUUUAAUUAGACGUCAACAGUCGAAGUUGUGGGCAGGUAGUAGGCUAUAUAUAAUAAUUUCCUGGAGAUCUUCCGUCUUCUAAGACAUUGCAAAUGCCAAACGUGAUAACUAUUUUGAUAAUUCAAAUACUACAUAAAAUAUAUGAAGUGUCAGACAAGUCAAAAGAAUUGAUUCUUCACAAUUGUAUAUACGUAUACACACACUUUGCCCAAAUCCCAUUGUAUCCAGGCUGUAAUUUUUAUAUUAAACGAACAUAUUUUAUUUUAUGUCAGCAAUAUUGAUGCAGGCUGGGGGAACAACAGCUUCAGGAUGGUCAACUACCCUUCGGAUCAUUGCAAGUGGGAUGGCAUCACUUGCAAUUCAGAUGGAAGCAUAAUCAGGCUAAAAUUAUCAUGGUGUGAUGUUGACUUCAAAAGGUAAUCUUCGUAAAAUUAUCAUGGUAUAAUAUACGUAUUUAUUUUCGCAUACAUAAAUAAAUAACAAAAUUGUAAUUAAUUGGAUACAGCUUCAGCUUUUGGACUGGUUUGUGAAAAUCAGAAAAAUUUAAAAAUGCUCCUCUUGAACAAUCAAAAUCUACUUUAUACGUGAACAAAGGGGAUGAUUCGUAAAGAUAGUUCAUCAAUGUUUGAUUGCUUUCAAGCGUGUCGAUUACUUUCAGAAAGAAAGACUUCAUUUGAUCUCGUCACAAAACAUAAUUUCACUUUGAAUUUGAAAAAGAAUAAUGAAGUUCAUACAAGUGCUGUUAUGACCUUUUUUUUUUUGUUUUCUUUUUUUCUCGACGUUGUUUUGUGAAUCAUAAGGGUUAAUUUAAUACGGUGGGUUCGCUUGUAUGAAGCGCACUUAUUGUACCAUUCUGUUGCAAGCAAUGAAAAAACGCUAUAAUUUUUUUAAGUUUCUACAAGUAUUAUGUUAUCUUAUAUCUAAAUGUGCAUCUCUAGUCUUUGCUCUCAGUUCAGGUUCUCUAAAAGUAUAUUAAUUAUGAAAAGCAUUAAAGGUUCCGAAACUCUAUUUUGCGGGGAAAAAGAACCUCCAUUUUUGGUUUUUUAUUAUAUGAGAUUUUACUAUGCUCGUAAUAACUUAAUCGAAAUUAAACAUAUCACUGGUCUACAUUUUUUUAUAAGAUUUUGUGACUUGCUAAUUAAGAUGAGUAUCACCAUCAAAUCAACAAGCUUAUACCUUCAAAGAAAAAUAGACUAUAAGUCGGGAGAAAGAAGAAAAAAAAAAAAAAAAGAAUCUUCGCAAUUUAUGCUGUUGGUUGUGAGUUCAUGAAACAAAUAAAAAUAUGAAAUCAAACAUUUAUUCAAAAUUUAAAAUUAAAAAAAAAACUCUAUAUCUACAGUAAUCUGUUCAAACCACAUAGGUGGAGCAAUAUAGUUCCAAGACGUGGUUUUAAAACAUGUCUUUGUGAUAAACAAUAUCGUGAUACUUGCGCCAAUUCCCAUGGCAAUAAUUGCCUACAUUUAUCCAAGAUCCAUGGCCAGGUUUAGAAUGUGCUAGUCUUCUUUCACUUUCAUAAAUAACCACUACUAGGUAAUCAGAGUGUCGGUCUAAAUUUUUCGGAGAUACAACGUCAAUGUAUGUGCCCGGAGUUGAAGCUGAACGCGCUUAAAUAUGUUCGGAAUUUGAAGUUGAACGCCUGGAAAAGGAUGCAGACUGAAGAAAGGCAAUUCCUGGAAUUUGUCUUUGGUAAGAAAACAUGGCUGCUUAUGCCCUUUGAAAGACUGAAGAAACCAAAUUGAUUAUUGCUGCAAUUUAGUGGCACAUGUACGAGGAGAGGCAUCCAAUUAAACUUGUUCAUAAAAGUAUUGCUGAUAGUUGCAGCCGAUCUCCAGACAAAAUCUUCGUACAAUUUUAUCCGCCAGCAAUUUCGACCAAGAGACCUUGAUGCAGUUCAGACCAAUUCGCCAGUUGAACAUCAAGUUGCCUAGGCAUUGAGAAUUAGGUCAAUAAAAUAUAUCCUGGGUCACUUACAAAAGAUGAAAUAAGUGAAAAAGGAAAGAUGACGUAAUAAUUUCUUAGUGAGAAAAGUUAGUUAAUUUGCAAAGGUCUUAGAUAAUCAAUUUGAUGUAAAAAUAUCAAAAUUUUUUUUAAUCAGUGAAAUAUUCAACCUCUAGUUUCAGCACUACAAAUGAAUUAAAUAGAAUAAUGAUAGAUAUUUUAAAAUUUUAUCCCAAAUGAUGUGAUAUGUAAUGUAUCAUUCAUUAAGUAGUUGAUGAUUUUUUUAUAAAUUUUAAGUGGAUUAAUUAUAUUAUUUUACCAACGAGUAAAUAAAUGUCACAUCAUUAGAGAAGAAAUUUUAAGGUAAAACUUUUCAAAUAUAUAUCACUACUCCAUUAAAUAUGGUAUAAAAAAUCUAAUAGGGACCAAAAAUAUAAAAACCCAUUAAAAAUAAAAAAUAUAAAAGUCAAUUCCUAAUUAGAAGAAUGAAAGUUUGUUUCUCCUACAAUCAUUUCACUAGAUUUUAAAUAAAUUAAUUAAUGAAAAUUUUUAAUAACAAAUCGGUGCCUAAACCUAACGUCUUUUUUUUUUUGGUCUUAUCCACGAGGUAUCCUGGGGAGGGCCCCAACUGUGGGAGGCACCUUUAAGCCCGUACCACAACCCAGACUAGAAGUCCCCGCUCGAACCGGGAGGCACAGGUUCUCCCAACAAAGGCGACUUCCCCGCGACUCGAACUGGGGAGCAAACCCAGUCAAGCCACUUAAGGGGACUCCAUUGCCAGUGGAGCCAACACUUUGUUGGUUAAACCUAACGUCUUUGACAGUGCUGCCAAUAUCACUCACAACUUACAAGAAAAUUUUGGUAUUAAAUUUAUUAAUGUUCUCAAGGAAUUUUUAGUUUGACUUUGCAUUCUCAGACCCAUUUGUCACAUAACACGUUAGCAAAGACCUUUAAUGAGAAUAUUAAAACAGCUGUCGAAUAAGCAUCUUGACGACGACUUUUUGACAUAUAUGCAUGCCUCCUUUUGUGAACAAAUUUGAAACAUAAAAGAAAAUUUUGAUCCAUGUGAGAGCUGGAGUAUUUUAUAGCUUUUGACCUCAUUAAUUAUGAGUAAGGGAAUAUUUCUACGUCACUAACGAUUAACAUGAUCACUAUAUAAAGGGAAGCAAAGUAUGUUUAGCAUCAAGUCAGAAAACACAAUUUUUAGGAAAUGGGAACUCUAGGACAGGCGAAGCAAUGGCCUCAAUUGGUUUGUGCUAUGGCAUUUUUGCUCAUAGCCACCACAACCGCAAAGGCAUCAGCUGAUGAUUAUGGCCCAGCACCAUCACCAAAGCAUGCAAAGCACCCUCCAAGCCAUUACAAGCCACCGAAACCACCAAAGCACCACGAGUCACCACCACCAUACUACUAUAACUCACCACCUCCACCAGUACAUUCUCCUCCACCACCUUAUUACUAUAAGUCUCCACCACCACCUUCUCUAUCUCCACCACCUCCUUACUAUUAUAAAUCACCACCACCACCGAAACAUUCUCCUCCACCUCCUUACUACUACAAAUCACCACCUCCUCCUUCUCCCUCUCCACCUCCACCAUAUUAUUACAAGUCUCCCCCACCACCAUCUCCAUCUCCCCCACCGCCUUACUACUAUAAAUCCCCACCACCACCAAAAUAUUCUCCUCCACCACCUUACUACUAUAAGUCACCACCUCCACCAGUGAAAUCUCCACCUCCGCCAUAUUACUAUAAAUCACCACCACCACCAAAACAUUCUCCCCCACCACCUUACUACUACAAGUCACCACCACCACCAAUGCAUUCUCCCCCACCACCUUACUAUUACAAAUCUCCACCACCACCAAAGCAUUCUCCUCCACCACCACCUUAUUACAAAUCACCACCCCCACCACCACCAAAACAUUCUCCCCCACCACCUUACUACUAUAAAUCUCCACCGCCACCAAAACAUUCUCCUCCUCCACCAUACUACUAUAAGUCACCACCUCCACCUGUAAAGUCUCCACCUCCACCACCUCACUACAAAUCACCACCACCACCAAAACAGUCUCCUCCACCACCUUAUUACUACAAGUCACCACCCCCACCAGUAAAGUCUCCACCACAGCCACCAAAGCAUUCUCCCCCGCCACCUUACUAUUACAAAUCACCACCUCCACCAAUGAAGUCUCCACCACCGCCACCUUACUAUAAAUCACCACCACCACCAAAUUCUCCCCCUCCACCUUACUAUUACAAAUCACCACCACCACCAAAGCAUUCCCCCCCGCCACCUUAUUACUAUAGAUCUCCACCACCACCAAAGUAUUCUCCCCCACCACCUUACUACUAUAAGUCACCACCUCCACCAAAGCAUUCUCCCCCGCCUCCUUACUAUUACAAAUCUCCACCACCACCUUACUAAUACAAAUCUCCACCACCACCAUCUCUAUCCCCACCUCCAUCUUCCAUUUACACCGCCACCAUCUACAUCACCUCCACCACCAUCUCCAUCAUUGUCACUAUUGCCUUCCGACUACUCCAUGUGAUCACCACCUCCCGAAGACUUCUAAGUUCAAUGUCCCUUCUUGAAACAAGUUU